RNAcentral lists this ribosomal RNA (231 nucleotides) under uncultured bacterium. RNAcentral describes it as "partial 16S ribosomal RNA". It matches the Rfam family "Bacterial small subunit ribosomal RNA", at positions 539 to 769 of the family's 1533-position model. The record is from RNAcentral.
GUUAAUCCGGAAUUACUGGGUGUAAAGGGUGAGUAGGCGGGAAUACAAGUCAGAUGUGAAAUGCAAAGGCUUAACCUUUGAAUUGCAUUUGAAACUGUAUUUCUUGAGAGUCGGAGAGGUAAUCGGAAUUCCUAGUGUAGCGGUGAAAUGCGUAGAUAUUAGGAGGAACACCAGUGGCGAAGGCGGAUUACUGGACGACAACUGACGCUGAGACACGAAAGCGUGGGGAGC